AUGGUGAUGGCGGCGGAGGGGCGGCGGGGGGACGCGGAGGCGGAGCUGAACCUGCCGCCGGGGUUCCGGUUCCACCCGACGGACGAGGAGCUGGUGGCGGACUACCUCUGCGCGCGCGCGGCCGGGCGCGCGCCGCCGGUGCCCAUCAUCGCCGAGCUCGACCUCUACCGGUUCGACCCGUGGGAGCUCCCGGAGCGGGCGCUCUUCGGGGCGCGGGAGUGGUACUUCUUCACGCCGCGGGACCGCAAGUACCCCAACGGCUCCCGCCCCAGCCGGGCCGCCGGGGGCGGCUACUGGAAGGCCACCGGCGCCGACAGGCCCGUGGCGCGCGCGGGCAGGACCCUCGGGAUCAAGAAGGCGCUCGUCUUCUACCACGGCAGGCCGGCGGCGGGGGUCAAGACGGACUGGAUCAUGCACGAGUACCGCCUCGCCGGCGCCGCCGCCAAGAGGGACGGCGCCUCGCUCAGGCUCGACGACUGGGUGCUCUGCCGCCUCUACAACAAGAAGAACCAGUGGGAGAAGAUGCAGCGGCAGCGGCAGGAGGAGGAGGAGGCGGCGGCCAAGGCUGCGGCGUCACAGUCGACCUCGUGGGGUGAGACGCGGACGCCGGAGUCCGAUGUCGACAACGGUCCGUUCCCGGAGCUGGACUCGCUGCCGGAGUUCCAGGGAAUGGGGACGACAAACGCGGCGAUACUGCCAAAGGAGGAGGUGCGGGAGCUGGGCAACGACGACUGGCUCAUGGGGAUCAGCCUCGACGAUCUUCAGGGCCCCGGCUCCCUGAUGCUGCCCUGGGACGACUCCUACGCCGCCUCGUUCCUGUCGCCGGUGGCCGUGAUGAAGAUGGAGCAGGACGUCAGCCCAUUCUUCUUCUGA
RNAcentral lists this ribosomal RNA (873 nucleotides) under Triticum aestivum (bread wheat). RNAcentral describes it as "partial small subunit ribosomal RNA". Lineage: Eukaryota; Viridiplantae; Streptophyta; Magnoliopsida; Poales; Poaceae. The record is from RNAcentral.